CCACCAAGGCGACGAUCCGUAGCUGGUCUGAGAGGAUGAUCAGCCACACUGGAACUGAGACACGGUCCAGACUCCUACGGGAGGCAGCAGUGGGGAAUAUUGGACAAUGGGCGCAAGCCUGAUCCAGCCAUACCGCGUGGGUGAAGAAGGCCUUCGGGUUGUAAAGCCCUUUUGUUGGGAAAGAAAUCCAGCCGGUUAAUACCUGGUUGGGAUGACGGUACCCAAAGAAUAAGCACCGGCUAACUUCGUGCCAGCAGCCGCGGUAAUACGAAGGGUGCAAGCGUUACUCGGAAUUACUGGGCGUAAAGCGUGCGUAGGUGGUUGUUUAAGUCUGUUGUGAAAGCCCUGGGCUCAACCUGGGAACUGCAGUGGAAACUGGACAACUAGAGUGUGGUAGAGGGUAGCGGAAUUCCCGGUGUAGCAGUGAAAUGCGUAGAGAUCGGGAGGAACAUCCAUGGCGAAGGCAGCUACCUGGACCAACACUGACACUGAGGCACGAAAGCGUGGGGAGCAAACAGGAUUA
Molecule: ribosomal RNA, 523 nt
Filed under: Stenotrophomonas maltophilia
Lineage: Bacteria; Pseudomonadati; Pseudomonadota; Gammaproteobacteria; Lysobacterales; Lysobacteraceae
Description: bacterial SSU rRNA
Rfam family: Bacterial small subunit ribosomal RNA
Source: RNAcentral